UUUACUCGGGGAUAGCCUUUCGAAAGAAAGAUUAAUACCCGAUAGCAUAAUGAUUCCGCAUGGUUUCAUUAUUAAAGGAUUCCGGUAAAGGAUGGGGAUGCGUUCCAUUAGGUUGUUGGUGGGGUAACGGCCCACCAAGCCUUCGAUGGAUAGGGGUUCUGAGAGGAAGGUCCCCCACAUUGGAACUGAGACACGGUCCAAACUCCUACGGGAGGCAGCAUG
RNAcentral lists this ribosomal RNA (222 nucleotides) under uncultured bacterium. RNAcentral describes it as "partial 16S ribosomal RNA". It matches the Rfam family "Bacterial small subunit ribosomal RNA", at positions 132 to 353 of the family's 1533-position model. The record is from RNAcentral.